AUAUUGCGCAAUGGGGGCAACCCUGACGCAGCAACGCCGCGUGAUUGAAGAAGGCCUUCGGGUUGUAAAGAUCUUUAAUUAGGGACGAAUAAUGACGGUACCUAAAGAAUAAGCUCCGGCUAACUACGUGCCAGCAGCCGCGGUAAUACGUAGGGAGCGAGCGUUAUCCGGAUUUACUGGGUGUAAAGGGCGUGUAGGCGGGGAAGCAAGUCAGAUGUGAAAACCAGUGGCUCAACCACUGGCCUGCAUUUGAAACUGUUUUUCUUGAGUGAUGGAGAGGCAGGCGGAAUUCCGUGUGUAGCGGUGAAAUGCGUAGAUAUACGGAGGAACACCAGUGGCGAAGGCGGCCUGCUGGACAUUAACUGACGCUGAGGCGCGAAAGCGUGGGGAGCAAACA
Molecule: ribosomal RNA, 397 nt
Filed under: uncultured bacterium
Lineage: Bacteria
Description: bacterial SSU rRNA
Rfam family: Bacterial small subunit ribosomal RNA
Source: RNAcentral